GUUAUUAAUGGGUUAAAUAUUGUGAGUAAGUGAAUUAAUGGAAACAAAAAAAUAUGGCGGUACUUUAAGCUUAUCAGAGGAAUUUGCUCUGUAAUGGAUAAAACACCUGAAUCUUACUAAAGUUAGUUAAAUCAGCUUGUAUACCACUAUAAGAGUAAUAAUUUAUUAUUAUUUCUAUAAUUUUUUCAUAAAAAAAUAAAUUAAGUCAUGGUGCAGCAAAAAUUUUAGAAUGAAGUGAAUUACAUUUCUUUUAAGAAUAAAAAAUUGAAAAAUUAUAUUAGGAUUUGAAAGUAAAUAAAUAAUAACAUGAUUUAUUGAAUUUAGCUCUAAAGUAUGUAC
This 339-nucleotide ribosomal RNA is filed under the name Amblyomma triguttatum (ornate kangaroo tick). RNAcentral's name for it is "partial small subunit ribosomal RNA". The record is from RNAcentral. Lineage: Eukaryota; Metazoa; Arthropoda; Arachnida; Ixodida; Ixodidae.